Molecule: small RNA, 340 nt
Filed under: Cryptosporidium parvum
Lineage: Eukaryota; Apicomplexa; Conoidasida; Eucoccidiorida; Cryptosporidiidae
Source: RNAcentral
AUUACUCUUUCUGUUCGUAGCGAAUUUCAAUAUAAAUAAGAUUUCAGUUCAUGCCAUGGAAUUUUCAUAGAUAUCCUGUAAUCUAUAAUACAUUUAUAUUGGCCAGACACUACGAUAAAACGAGAUUAUUAACAAAUUCUAUUUGUUUGUAGUAUAAUCCAGGAGUGUACUACUACUUGAUUAUACUAUUCAUCUGCAAGGUCCUUAAGGCUGCCUUUUUAGAGAUUAGAUAAUUUGGUAAAUAUUUACUCGAUUAUUUCUCGAACUUCAGUUUUACUGCGGGAUUCAUAAAAGGUAUUUGAGUCAAAACCUUGCAACAAAUUUUCUUAUAGAAAUCUUA